UGGUAUCCCCAAAGUGUGUGGUU
This 23-nucleotide non-coding RNA is filed under the name Rattus norvegicus (Norway rat). The record is from RNAcentral. Lineage: Eukaryota; Metazoa; Chordata; Mammalia; Rodentia; Muridae.